Molecule: ribosomal RNA, 305 nt
Filed under: uncultured bacterium
Lineage: Bacteria
Description: bacterial SSU rRNA
Rfam family: Bacterial small subunit ribosomal RNA
Source: RNAcentral
AAUCCUACGGGGGGCAGCAGUGAGGAAUAUUGGUCAAUGGCCGGAAGGCUGAACCAGCCAAGCCGCGUGAAGGACGAAGGUGCCAAGCAUUGUAAACUUCUUUUGUCAAGGGACAAAAUCAGGCUCGAGAGCCUGACCGAGGGUACUUGAAGAAAAAGCAUCGGCUAACUCCGUGCCAGCAGCCGCGGUAAUACGGAGGAUCCGAGCGUUAUCCGGAUUUAUUGGGUUUAAAGGGAGCGUAGGUGGAUUGUUAAGUCAGUUGUGCAUGUUUGCGGCUCACCCGUAAAAUUCCAGUUGAAACUGGC